GAUGAACGCUGGCGGCGUGCUUAACACAUGCAAGUCGAACGGGGAUGCUGACGGAAGGGGUGCUUGCACUCUGGAAGUAAGGAUCUUAGUGGCGGACGGGUGAGUAACGCGUGGGUAACCUGCCCCAUACCGGGGGAUACCACCUGGAAACAGGUGCUAAUACCGCAUAAGCGCACGGGAGCGCAUGCUCCUGUGUGAAAAACUCCGGUGGUAUGGGAUGGACCCGCGUCUGAUUAGCCAGUUGGCAGGGUAACGGCCUACCAAAGCGACGAUCAGUAGCCGGCCUGAGAGGGUGGACGGCCACAUUGGGACUGAGACACGGCCCAA
Molecule: ribosomal RNA, 327 nt
Filed under: uncultured bacterium
Lineage: Bacteria
Description: bacterial SSU rRNA
Rfam family: Bacterial small subunit ribosomal RNA
Source: RNAcentral